This 1616-nucleotide long non-coding RNA is filed under the name Oreochromis niloticus (Nile tilapia). RNAcentral describes it as "lncRNA (ENSONIG00000027338.1)". The record is from RNAcentral. Lineage: Eukaryota; Metazoa; Chordata; Actinopteri; Cichliformes; Cichlidae.
GAAAUACAAUCGAGUGUCACGCAGGGCGAAGCAGUGCAAGCUUUCAUUCAACCUGCCACCAAUUAUCCAGCGACUUAUCCAUUUAGCUGCACUUCUGCCACCACCUCCAGCUGUGCUGCCUGCAGUCACCCCUGCAGUCUUCAGCCUUUGCCACCUCCAUAAUUCUGCAGUAAGUCCUUUUUUAGCUUUGUGUAAGUCUGAGUGUUUCAUUUUCGGUCCAGAAAUUCUAUUUACUUCUAUGUAAAUUGGGUAUGUAAAUAUCUAAACAACAACAGCAGCUGCUGCAGUCCUUCAUAUCAGAAAUGACCGGCAGAUUAUUUUUAUUUUAAAAAACCAGAGAGAGGUUUCUGAAAAAUAAAUUACUGUGUCAUGCAAUUAAGUCUUUAAAGAAUGAUUAAUAACAACACCAGCUCGGAAAAUAAUUGAGUGAACUGCAGUCACCCCAAAAAUGCUUUGAAUAGACAGAACUGCUUGAUUACUGUAAGCUUCUAUCGCAACAACAUUAGACCGUGUAUAAAAAAGGAGCUAAUUGGUUUCUGAGCAUUUGAACCCUCACUAGUAAAAUUCUGGCCCUGCAGUUACCUACUAGCACUAACAAUCUGAGUGAACAAGACCUUUCCAUUCCACAUCUGUACAGCUGUGGCAUCCAAACACACCUUUUUGUAGUAAUUAGUGAUAAGAAAAACAAAAACACAAUUUUUCACUGAGGCAGAACCUUCCUGGAUGGGCUGUACCACACUACAAGCUGUAUCACAUGACCGAUAAUUCCAUUAAAAUUCUCCAAAAGUCGAGAAUCCCUCAGAGCGAGGUAGCAGGCAGGCAGGGAUGAGAUACAGCUGUGUCAGGUAAACAAAGCAGCCAAAACUUAACUUUAACUUUAUCCAAAUGCAUGAAUUAUGAAAUAACACAUGCCAUUAUAUACACUUGUUAUGAAACUAGAGGUCAAGCAUGCUGUGAACAUUUAAAUUUUCACCAAUUAAGUUGAGCAUUUGUGACUCUUUGGAGUUGAGAUACUUCAGCCAACCUCAAGUUGCCAUCAGCAGAACUGCAGCUGUGAUUUUGCCUUUCAGCUGCAGACUGAGUGUAAAUCCACAUAAUGUCUUUUGAGGCUUUCAGGUGUUUGACUGUGUUCAGCAACGUGCAAAUUAAUCAAGAAGCACACACACCAUAAGCCCUGACCUGUCACUGCUAGAUAACAUGCUGACAUUUCUUUACAGUAAACCAAAGGACAAACAAAGCACAUGCCACAGUGAUAACGAGGGGCUAAUGACUCUGAUUUGGAUCAUGUUGUAGGCCGACUAUAGUUGUUGGCAUUACUCCAAAAGUGAACCUACUGCGAACCUGCGUUCUGGCUGUCAGUGGUGGACAGGAUCCCCCUUCUCCUCUGAAGUUUGACUAUCAGCUGAACAGCCAAUCCUAUACAAAAUUAUAAAACAAGAGAAUCUUUUCAGUGUCGUGUCAGGAUUCAUAACGAAAAUGCCACCUGCAAGGACAAGGCUUGGAAGAAAAGUGAAGACACAGUGGUGACGUGGACAUUUCUUCUCAGCCACGUCUGCAGCUGUCAUUUUCAAGAAUAUCAACCUUUUAUAUAUGUGCGUAUGUGUGGGUGGAUGGGU